RNAcentral lists this small nuclear RNA (107 nucleotides) under Carlito syrichta (Philippine tarsier). The record is from RNAcentral. Lineage: Eukaryota; Metazoa; Chordata; Mammalia; Primates; Tarsiidae.
GUGCUCACUUCGGCAGCACAUAUAUUAAAAUUGGGAUGAUACAGAGAAGAUUAGCAUGGCCCCUGCUCAAGGAUGACAUGCAAAUUCAUGAAAUGUUCCAUAUUUUU